GACGAACGCUGGCGGCGUGCCUAAUACAUGCAAGUCGAACGAGAGCGACCGGUGCUUGCACUGGUCAAUCUAGUGGCGAACGGGUGAGUAACACGUGGGUAACCUGCCCAUCAGAGGGGGAUAACAUUCGGAAACGGAUGCUAAAACCGCAUAGGUCUUCGAGCUGCAUGGCUUGAAGAGGAAAAGAGGCGCAAGCUUCUGCUGAUGGAUGGACCCGCGGUGCAUUAGCUAGUUGGUGAGGUAAUGGCUCACCAAGGCCGUGAUGCAUAGCCGACCUGAGAGGGUGAUCGGCCACAUUGGGACUGAGACACGGCCCAAACUCCUACGGGAGGCAGCAGUAGGGAAUCUUCCGCAAUGGACGCAAGUCUGACGGAGCAACGCCGCGUGAGUGAAGAAGGUUUUCGGAUCGUAAAACUCUGUUGUUAGAGAAGAACAAGUGC
Molecule: ribosomal RNA, 440 nt
Filed under: Granulicatella adiacens
Lineage: Bacteria; Bacillati; Bacillota; Bacilli; Lactobacillales; Carnobacteriaceae
Description: bacterial SSU rRNA
Rfam family: Bacterial small subunit ribosomal RNA
Source: RNAcentral